UCUCCUCUGCUGAGCCCUUGAUUUUUCACUGUUGCCUAACCUCCUCUCUGAUUUGAUCAUCAGAGGAUCCCGUCGAAGAUAUCUCUGAUCUAUAAAGAUUUUUUUGUAGGUGCACAUCACCGAUGAUCGGACGAUGGAGGGAUUGGCCGCAACAGCUCUUUGACUGUGCGAUGGCUUCUCCAACGAGUCACGACAUUUUCGAUAAUGGAAGGUCCAAUAAAGGCAUUCAGCUUGAUUCGAUGGGGGUUUCAGCGGUCUAAAAGGAUAAAUCAAAAUUUGGGAAUGCCUACCUCAGCUCCUUUCUCAGGUGGUGAUGCAUCAACCAACAUUCGUUAGGAAGUCAGAGAGGGUCUCCCCCUCUUAGGUUGGCCAUUUCACUCAAGGGUAAUCCCUCAGGCUCAACGUCACAAGUAAGAAAUUCAUCUGUGGAUUCGAACCGCCCUUCAUCCCAAGUUGUCCAAGGCUAGAGGAGGUUUUGCUGAAACAUGGCUAGAACUUCCAAUGCCAAAUUGAGCAGCUGGAGCAAAGGUUUUCUAAGGUGGUUCAAUUCAUACAGGAGGAAAUCCAACCAUCAUCAUAGCACUUGCGCUCAGCCUUGAUUGGUAAGUUCCUAGAUAAGGAUUUUCUUCUUGAAUUUAUUAAGAAAGAAUUGCAUAGACGAUGGAGUGUGCAAGAUGAAUUUUAUGUCUCUGCCUUCUCUGAGGGGUUACUUUUAUUCCAAUGCCCUUCGGAGGAGGUAAAAGUUUGGAUCCUUGAAAAAUAUCCAUGAUCUUUGACUGGACAACUGCUUAUCUUAGAACCAUUGAGACCAAAAUUCCGGCCUAGCUGUGAUACAAUUACUCAACUGCGGGUUUGGCUGCAGCUACUAGACUUGCCUUUGGAGUUGUGGGAGGCAAGAAAAAUUUUAAAAAUUGCAUCAGUUGUUGGUACUCGUUUGUUUCUAGAUGAAUGGACUUUAAAUUCUUCAGGUAUGGGGUACGCUUGAGUUUGUGCCUUGAUGGAUCUUAAUAAAUCAGUGUGCCUAGCAGUGAGAAUUCAAGUUCAUGAUGAGAUUCUCUAGCAACAAUUUAUAUAUAAGGAAUUGUCAAAUAUUUGUUAUGCUUGUGGUCGAAUUGGGGUUCCUCAGGAGGUCUGUGACUGUUUGGUUGGGGUGGAGAGGGGCUUGCUCUCUUUGGCCUGGAUUUGAGCAUCACGGGUAUCAUUAGUCCAAACGACUCAAUCACAAGUAAGAACAAAUUCUCCACCCUCUACUCCUCAUGAUGGACAAAUAACAAAUGAAUAGCUACAGUCAAAAAAGCCAAUCAAAUGCUCUCCGAUGUCAAGUAUAAAUAGAGUAUCUGAUAUGUAUCAGUCCAAUUCUAAAUUUUGUCGCUUCAUUAAUGUGAUAUCUGAACAUUUGCAGGAGCCCUACAACAUAGAAAUUAUACUCUAUGAUGUUUCGUGCAAACUCAAUUAUUAUUAUUUUUUUUUGGUAAAGAACUAACACAGAGAUAGAAAAAGAUAAACAUAAAUGACCUUCAGCAAAACAGCAAAACCGUUCCAACUCAACUUCCCUGCUGCAAGCUAAAAUAAGGAUCUGAAUAGAGGAGAGGGGUUGAUGUCAUUCGCUCGGGUGUUAAAACCAACUCUUUAGUAGUUAAGAUAUGAAAAUUGGUAAAUAUUCUAAUCUCUAAGUCAUUUAAUGUUCACAGGCAAUUGGAGGGUAGCUCUGAAGAGUUUCAUCAAGUGUCUUAAAGUACUCCUUCAGACAUGCAAAUCAUCAAAUCUCGUGGGGAGUUUGCCAACACCUUUGGAUUAUUUUAUGUGAUAAUCUUUUUCCUAACUCUUUAGUUAGUGUGCCUGUGAUUUAGGACGAUGUGGCAAUAUCUAAGUCUAAUAAUGGGGUUGACUUGAGUCCGAUAGAUCAACACCAGGAUCCUUCGCCUUAAAGAUGCUAGUCUAGAAUUGUCAAGAUGCGGCAAAGCCCCCUUUUGUAAAUUAUAC
Molecule: long non-coding RNA, 1983 nt
Filed under: Elaeis guineensis (African oil palm)
Lineage: Eukaryota; Viridiplantae; Streptophyta; Magnoliopsida; Arecales; Arecaceae
Description: long non-coding RNA (EGUI_LNC006780)
Source: RNAcentral